Molecule: non-coding RNA, 270 nt
Organism: Vicia faba (fava bean)
Lineage: Eukaryota; Viridiplantae; Streptophyta; Magnoliopsida; Fabales; Fabaceae
Source: the annotation of a GenBank genome assembly
AUGAGAUGCCCAACAGCACAGGCUGAGAAAGGUUAUGAUAAUCACAAAUUGGAGACUGUCUCUACACCAGCGGUAUGUAAAUAUUGGAUUAAAAAGUAUCGCCGCCAGGUCAAUUACGAACUUCAAACUGUCCAGAUCAAAACCACAGCCCGGAAGUGGUGGAUAAAACAGCUUCUUGAUCUUAUUGUAACUUGUUUCGAUGCUACUUUUUACUGUGUGGAUGCAGGAAUACAAGAGAGAACGAAACAUGAUACAACAAUAAGAGAUUAG